Haliotis rubra (blacklip abalone) is the source of this 4304-nucleotide long non-coding RNA. RefSeq lists it as uncharacterized. NCBI's taxonomy places the organism in Eukaryota, Metazoa, Mollusca, Gastropoda, Lepetellida, Haliotidae. The record is from RefSeq and is a predicted model, not a curated record. The transcript is spliced from 2 exons.
GGAAGUUGUGGGCUUUUUAAGGGAUGGGAUGGUUUGGGGAUGUGAUAGUAGGGGAAGUUGUGGGUUUUUAAAGGAUGAACUGACUGGUUUGGGGAUGAGAGGUGAAUAAGUUGAGGAUGGGAUUGUUGUGGAUAAGUUGUAGUUGGGACAGUUGUGAUGGGGGAGGGUCUGGGAUGAAAAUUUGUGGUCACAUGUCAAUGUAUUGCCCCCAAAUAAUAUAUACAUGAAUGUGCAUGUUUUAUCGAGAUCACCUUGUGAAAUUCCUGGAUCCAUUGUUGUAAAGGAAUCAUAAAGCUUUGUAUCACUGCAACUUCCCUUGUGCUAAGAAAUUGGAAAGUAUGUUUGCUUUGAAUAGAACAGUUCACUUAAAAUGUCGAAUAUGGUAACAGUUUCAUGUGUUAGCAGACAACAUAUUCUCGGAUGUAAAGACUUAAACUUUCUCUUAUCUGAACUUUUGGUAAGAAAUCAAGAAGUACUUAGCCAAAACAUUUGCCAUCAGCUGCUUAUUCAGGGAUAUUUUUGUAUGAAGAAAAGGUUUACUGGUUUGGUAUAUGUGUAAGUAAAUGAAUGUAUAAUAGAAAAUAUAGAAAUCCUAUGUAUUAUGUAACCUUGUGAGUGAGAGGAAGGGUGGUAGAAGGGAUUAGUCGGGAGGAGGAGGAGGAUGGAGGACCACGGCAGGAGCUUGACACACAAGUGAACUAGCAAUCAUUUUGUGGAACAUUGAAACUGAAUAAGUUUGUUAAUUGUCACAUACAUUUUUAGUGCAAAAUAAUUUGAUAUUUAUCAUUGGCUGCUGACUAUUUUUAAACGAUGAUGUAUCCAGAGUACACACUUGGUUUUGAGGCCACCAUUUAUUCAGUAAACAUAUGAUGUUGACAACUUGGAGAAUUAAAGGUUGAUUCAAACCCCAUUUACAGUAUUGAGAUCUUAGUUGAAAAUCAAACUGCUUAUCUGUAUUAAAAUCUUUGUUAGGAAGAGGGCAUUAGUCUGAAGGUAGACAUUUUGAGAUUGAGGUUGAAUAGUUCAUGUAAUUAAACUUUGUGACCGCAGUAAGUCAGUGGAAAAUUGUGCUUAAGAACUGGUGUGUCAAGCUUCUUAAUUGGGAUCCUGGUGUGUCAAGCUUCUUACAUGGGAUCCUGGUGUGUAAAGCUUCUCACACAGGAUCCUGUUGGGUGAAGCUUCUUACACAGGAUCCUGUUGGGUCAAGCUUCUUACAUGGGAUCCUGGUGUGUCGAGCUUCUCACACAGGAUCCUGUUGGGUCAAGCUUCUUACAUGGGAUCCUGUUGGGUCAAGCUUCUUAAAGAUUAUUGCAGGGUGUCAAGCUUCUUGCACAAGAUCCUGUUUCAAGCUUCUUGCACAGGAUCCUAGGCAUGUCAAGCUUUUUGCACAGGAUCCUGGACAUGUCAAGCUUCUUGCACAGGAUCCUAGGCAUGUCAAGCUUCUUGCAGAGGAUCCUGGACAUGUCAAGCUUCUUGCACAGGAUAGUAGGCAUGUCAAGCUUCUUGCAGAGGAUCCUAGGCAUGUCAAGCUUCUUGCAGAGGAUCCUGGGCAUGUCAAGCUUCUUGCACAGGAUAGUAGGCAUGUCAAGCUUCUUGCACAGGGUCCUGGGCAUGUCAAGCUUCUUGCACAGGAUAAUAGGCAUGUCAAGCUUCUUGCACAUGAUCCUGCGCAUGUCAAGCUUCUCAGUCCAGAUGCUGGACGUGUCAAGCUUCUCAGACCAGAUCCUGGGUGUGUCUAAAGUCUUGCACAGGAUCCCAGGUGUGUCAAACUUUCUCCAGCAGCCCACUUGAUGGUGCCAAGGGGGAAAACAUACAAUGUUAUAAUGUGAUGAGUAAGUGUUCAAUAUUGUUUGUGUUGUUAACUUAUGACUUUAUUAUGAAAAAGAUGAUAUAAAAUAUGAAAAAAAGUCAAAUUCAUAAUACAAUUAUAAUAUAUAAAACAAAGCUCACAAACACCAAGUAUUCAUCUAUGAUGUUUUGAAGUUAUUGUGUUCAUUUUCAAUCUCUACUUGUGUACAUGUCCUUGAGAACUACCAUACAGAAGUCACAUUUUAUGUAGCUUAUUCAAAUGAGUUUAUAUAUUAUUAUUAUUAUAUAUAUAUAUUAACACAUGUUGUUGGUUUGUAUUUUAAUAAUACUAUAGUUGUGUUGUAGAAACAAAUUGUGUAAAAUACAUACAAACCAAAUGCAAAUAUGUUGAUUUUAAACAUUUGUACUGGUGGGAAUGAAUAUAUACAUAUAUGUCCUGUAUAUGUUUUUGAGCAGAAUAGUUUUAGAUUUUUAUCUUUUCUUUUCAUCAACAAUAAGUGUUUUUAUCAGUUAUACAUGUUUUAUCAGGUAUAUAUUUAAACCUGUUUGCUUGAAUUGACGCUAUGUUAAUCCACAAACUGAUAUGUAUGUCAAAUGUAAAUAAGAUUUUUAUUGUAGAAAAAGUCAUCCUUCAAUGUCUGAUUCAUCGUUGUAUACAGUCAUCUCAUGAUUACCCCCCUUGGCAAUUUCACAUGCUGAACUUACUCAAGGGGAGAUAACUCCAUCAACUUCACCAGUUUGUUUUUACAAGAUCUAUGUUGAUAUUUGGUCUCCAUGUAACUAGAGUUAUCUACCCUUACCAACUGCAACAUUCAAAGCAUAAUAGAUAACUGGUCUCAAUUAGAGCGCCAUCACUUGUACACAUCAACAUCAUGAGUUGAGUUUGUUUGUCAAAUAGGCAUGGUAGCAUGCUCUGAUAUUUGUGCUGAUGGAUGGAAGGCUGCGUUUGAAUGAGUGCUAUCACAGCUACACCAACACCACAUUCUUUAAUGGGAUGUCAUUCAUCUUUCCAAGGAGGAACAUACCAAAGAUGAAAGAUACCACGUUAUCCUUCAUGUAGCCAUGGUAACCACAAUAGAGGACAUCCCUGAUAAUUUUCGAUACACAUAAACAACACUUGGCCUUAAUAUUGGGAAAAGGUGAAACUAAUCUUGGACAAAGGGGUAAAAUUUAGUUAAAUGGCUUGCAGGAAAUACUGGAUCUUUCUUAGGAACAACUUUGUGGCAGUUUUGUUGUUGUGAAAUUUUAAUAAGAUGUCAUAAGUGUAUUACUGCUUAGCUUUACCAUCCAUCCUUUGUAAAACUUCUGUACCAUGUUGUAAACCUAGAGAGAAAUGGCCGCCUUAACAAAAGGAUGUAUUUUCACAUAGUUACUUUGCGAAGGAGUAAUUUGCCUAGUUCUGAUAUUCUAAAUGAACAUUUAAACUCUUGCACAUAUAUUUUUAUAUGAAUUCAUACUUCAUCAUACACCAAUUACCUUUGUAUUGAUUAAUAUUCACCUUCAUCAUCUUGCACGCAUUGGGCACCUGCGAUGCAGUAGAUGGAUUACCUCCCCUGGUUUCUGACAUUGGACUGCAGUAGGAUAUUUGCAAAAUUUGUUUCUUGAACAAAUCAAAGCGAUGUUCAGGUUAGUGAUGUAAGUGUACUUUUGUUCAUGAAUGGCUAACAUGUUGGACAUAGAGGAAGAAUAAUAUUCUGUUAAUGAAUCAAAAUCUGGUUACCAUUAGCUUUUGCAACCAUAUGACCAAAUUAGUGAGAUAAGUCAAUGUGACAUAGUAAUGGUGAAGGAAAAUAUUUGCAACAUUUUUAUGAAAAACGGAAAAAAUGUUUUAAACUGAUUUGAUUUAGUUAUUAGGGAAAUGCCAUCACAUUGCUGACAUUUUGUCUGAUAGACUUCAGAGCAUUAUGUAAUCCAGCAGUUUGAUGGUGCUGAAACAUGAUUCAGAAAUAGAAAUCCAUUUAUUUUAAGUUUCCAUCUGACCAUGGUGCUUCACUAUUGUGUAGAAUUGAAAACUUGCUACUUUUCUGAAGGUUCUGUGGAUAACAGGUAUGAAAAUUAUGGAACUGAUUUUGAUGGCUGAAAUUAUAUUUCAUUGGUGGUGCUAAAUAUGGAUCAUAUACCUGAUUACCCUCAGUCCAUGAUGGACUCUUCCAAUGUAUUAGUAGGGUAGUGCUGAUUUUGUUGAAAUUGGUAUUAGAAUUUUCAAAGGUUUUUGGUGGUAAUGUGAGAAGCUGUGUUUAUGUUUCUGCGUGUAGCGCAGUCUCAUGUGUCCAGGUGUCUGCAUGGCUGGUACACUGUGAGUUGGAACAAUUGUCCUGUGCAGUCAGUGUUCAUACAAUCUAUGCUUUAUACAUCUUGUUAUUACAUUUAUUAAUGUAAGUGAUUAGUUCUCAAUUAAAAGUGUCUCUUGUAAAUUAUAUACACACAGUAGGCUUGUUUUGUGUAUUGUUUGAUAUACAUAGAAACGUGAGGCAAUAAUAAAUGAAUUAUGUGAA